This 108-nucleotide ribosomal RNA is filed under the name Nannospalax galili (Upper Galilee mountains blind mole rat). The record is from RNAcentral. Lineage: Eukaryota; Metazoa; Chordata; Mammalia; Rodentia; Spalacidae.
GUCUAUGGCCAUACUACUCUGAACGUGCCUGAACUCAGAAGCUAAGCAGGGUUGGGCCUGGUUAACACUUGGAUGGGAGACUGCAGUGUGCUCAUCUCUAAAUAGGAU